UGGCACACAGGUGGUAGGCGUGGGGGGAUGAGUGAGAACAUUGCCGAGUGGACAAAGCAAAGGGCAGCAGGAGAGGCAGUGACAGGGGCUGAGCUCAGGACCCCGUGGGGACAGCAGAGUACCCAGGAGCAGGGUCCCCGGGAUCUCCCAAGGCCACUCACGAAGAUGUCGAAGAAGGAAGUUUUGAAGUUGUACUGGAUGAUCUCCUGCUCCAAGUUCUUGCGGAUGCCUGUGUUGGUCUGUGAGAGGGAGAUAGGAAGAGCUCUGCAGGUAGAAGCAAGGGCCUGGGGCUGCCCCUCACCUCCCAGAAGUGGCAAGAGGUAGGGGAAGGAGGAACCUGGAGGGGAGGCUGUUAGUGCUAAGCCACCACCAGGGGGCCCCAGAAGCACCAAAGGAGCUCAGCCCAAGGCCAGAGACCUCAGACACCAAUACCACUCCCCUAAGGAUCCAGGCCGCCCUGAUAGGCAGGGCUAGCUUCCAGCACCCUGCCCAGGAAGGGGCAGGCUGGGAGGCUUGGGGGCUGUGCAGGGGAGGCAAUGCGCCCUACACAGGGCCAGCAGAAGGGCGCUGGAAGCCCACCUCUGACGGAAUUCCAUCUCCCUCCCGGCACUGCAGUGCUCCAUCUUCCCAGCCAUAAUCCAUCUGAGCUGAUGGGGGCUGGGGGUGGGCAGUGGUGUCAGACAGAGCCUCAGGUAGCAAAUCAAUUGAUUAGGUUUAUGCUUAAUGGGCAAAAUCCAUCAUGCUGCUGGAGAGGGUGGAGACAGAGUGGAUGUGUCCUUGCCUCUGUCCCUACCCCAGUCAGCCAGACAUUUUCACCAGGACCCCUGAGGCCUUGGCCCCAACUCCAAUGUCCAGAGGUCUGAGGGAACUGGACGGACAGCAGGCCAGACUCUGGCCUGACUCCUUGGAAGCACAGGGGUGACAGGCCUAGGCUUCUUCAGCCACCUUGGAGAAGAGAGGACACAGGGGGACUCUGGGCGAUGGAGCCCAGGAACCCUGGAGAGGAAGACCCCUCACAACUGCCUAGACCGGGGCUUCUGCUCUCCAGCAGGGCAGCCAAAUCUGGCAGGGGGAGGCUUGUUAAAGAUGCAGAUGCUCCCCCACUGAGCACACAGCCCCACCAUGUGCCUCUCUACCUCAAGCCCACCCCAGCCCCACGAAAUCUGAUGCCGCCUCUCCUCUGGCUGCUGCUGAGGCCUCCAGGCCUGCCACCUACCCACCCCACCCAACCCACACCACCCAACACUCCUCUUGCUCCUCAGACUCUGUCAUGGGCUCUGCAGCCCCUUCCACCCUCAGUCACUGGGCCUCAGAGCUCUGUCCUCCUUCCUCUUCUCUCCAGCCUGGGCACCCACUGGUGCUGACUGAUCAGGACUCGGGACAGCCAAGUCUCAGCCCCUGCUUUGCCACUCUCUGGCUCCAAAUCCCCUGCUCAGCACGACCCUACUGAGGUUCUUAUAACCACUGGGCAACACAGACACAGUCUGUCAGCGAACUAAAAAUA
Molecule: non-coding RNA, 1504 nt
Organism: Macaca mulatta (Rhesus monkey)
Lineage: Eukaryota; Metazoa; Chordata; Mammalia; Primates; Cercopithecidae
Source: RefSeq, a predicted model, not a curated record